Molecule: ribosomal RNA, 464 nt
Filed under: Vreelandella stevensii
Lineage: Bacteria; Pseudomonadati; Pseudomonadota; Gammaproteobacteria; Oceanospirillales; Halomonadaceae
Description: partial 16S ribosomal RNA
Rfam family: Bacterial small subunit ribosomal RNA
Source: RNAcentral
CCUACGGGGGCUGCAGUGGGGAAUAUUGGACAAUGGGCGAAAGCCUGAUCCAGCCAUGCCGCGUGUGUGAAGAAGGCCUUCGGGUUGUAAAGCACUUUCAGUGGGGAAGAAAGCCUUGGGGCUAAUACCCUCGAGGAAGGACAUCACCCACAGAAGAAGCACCGGCUAACUCCGUGCCAGCAGCCGCGGUAAUACGGAGGGUGCGAGCGUUAAUCGGAAUUACUGGGCGUAAAGCGCGCGUAGGCGGUCUGAUAAGCCGGUUGUGAAAGCCCCGGGCUCAACCUGGGAACGGCAUCCGGAACUGUCAGGCUAGAGUGCAGGAGAGGAAGGUAGAAUUCCCGGUGUAGCGGUGAAAUGCGUAGAGAUCGGGAGGAAUACCAGAGGCGAAGGCGGCCUUCUGGACUGACACUGACGCUGAGGUGCGAAAGCGUGGGUAGCAAACAGGAUUAGAUACCCCGGUAGUC